This 497-nucleotide ribosomal RNA is filed under the name uncultured bacterium. RNAcentral describes it as "partial 16S ribosomal RNA". It matches the Rfam family "Bacterial small subunit ribosomal RNA", at positions 28 to 507 of the family's 1533-position model. The record is from RNAcentral.
GAUGAACGCUGGCGGCGUGCCUAAUACAUGCAAGUCGAGCGAACAGACGAGGAGCUUGCUCCUCUGACGUUAGCGGCGGACGGGUGAGUAACACGUGGAUAACCUACCUAUCAGACUGGGAUCACUUCGGGAAACCGGAGCUAAUACCGGAUAAUAUAUUGAACCGCAUGGUUCAAUAGUGAAAGACGGUUUUGCUGUCACUUAUAGAUGGAUCCGCGCCGCAUUAGCUAGUUGGUAAGGUAACGGCUUACCAAGGCAACGAUGCGUAGCCGACCUGAGAGGGUGAUCGGCCACACUGGAACGGAGACACGGUCCAGACUCCUACGGGAGGCAGCAGUAGGGAAUCUGCCGCAAUGGGCGAAAGCCUGACGGAGCAACGCCGCGUGAGUGGUGAAGGUCUUGGGAGCGUAAAACUCUGUUAUGAGGGAAGAACAAAUGUGUAAGUAACUAUGCACGUCGUGACGGUACCUAAUCAGAAAGCCACGGCUAACUACGUG